Molecule: transfer RNA, 74 nt
Filed under: Planctomycetota bacterium
Lineage: Bacteria; Pseudomonadati; Planctomycetota
Description: Planctomycetes bacterium tRNA-His
Rfam family: tRNA
About the family: Transfer RNA (tRNA) molecules are approximately 80 nucleotides in length. Their secondary structure includes four short double-helical elements and three loops (D, anti-codon, and T loops).
Source: RNAcentral
GUGGGUGUAGCUCAGUUGGUUAGAGCACUAGGUUAUGGUCCUAGGGGUCGGGGGUUCGAGUCCCCUUACUCACC